Molecule: ribosomal RNA, 650 nt
Filed under: uncultured bacterium
Lineage: Bacteria
Description: bacterial SSU rRNA
Rfam family: Bacterial small subunit ribosomal RNA
Source: RNAcentral
AGAGUUUGAUCAUGGCUCAGAACGUACGCUGGCGGCACGCCUAACACAUGCAAGUCGAACGAAGUAGCAAUACUUAGUGGCAGACGGGCGAGUAACAUGUGGGUAUCUACCCUUUGGCCUGGAAUAACACGAGGAAACUUGUGCUAAUACCGGAUAAGUCUUUACGGAGAAAGCUUUAUGCACCAUUGGAUGAGCCCGCACUUGAUUAGUUUGUUGGUAGGGUAAUGGCCUACCAAGACUAUGAUCAAUAGCUGAUUUGAGAGGAUGAUCAGCCACAUUGGGACUGAGACACGGCCCAAACUCCUACGGGAGGCAGCAGUGGGGAAUCUUGCACAAUGGAGGAAACUCUGAUGCAGCGAUGCCGCGUGAGUGAAGAAGGCCUUUGGGUUGUAAAGCUCUUUCGUCGGGGAAGAAAAUGACUGUACCCGAAUAAGAAGGUCCGGCUAACUUCGUGCCAGCAGCCGCGGUAAUACGAAGGGACCUAGCGUAGUUCGGAAUUACUGGGCUUAAAGAGUUCGUAGGUGGUUGAAAAAGUUGGUGGUGAAAUCCCAGAGCUUAACUCUGGAACUGCCAUCAAAACUUUUCAGCUAGAGUAUGAUAGAGGAAAGCAGAAUUUCUAGUGUAGAGGUGAAAUUCGUAGAUAUUAGAAA